CAGUCGCCGCGGUAAUACAGAGGGUGCGAGCGUUAAUCGGAUUUACUGGGCGUAAAGCGUGCGUAGGCGGCUUCUUAAGUCGGAUGUGAAAUCCCUGAGCUUAACUUAGGAAUUGCAUUCGAUACUGGGAAGCUAGAGUAUGGGAGAGGAUGGUAGAAUUCCAGGUGUAGCGGUGAAAUGCGUAGAGAUCUGGAGGAAUACCGAUGGCGAAGGCAGCCAUCUGGCCUAAUACUGACGCUGAGGUACGAAAGCAUGGGGAGCAAACAGGAUUAGAUACACCCGUAGUCCCUGUCUCUUAUAA
RNAcentral lists this ribosomal RNA (301 nucleotides) under uncultured bacterium. RNAcentral describes it as "partial 16S ribosomal RNA". It matches the Rfam family "Bacterial small subunit ribosomal RNA", at positions 509 to 809 of the family's 1533-position model. The record is from RNAcentral.